GCGCGGUUAGUUUAGUGGUUAGAAUCCUCGCUUCCCAUCACCUCUUGGUCUAGCGAGGGACCCGGGUUCGAAUCCCGGAUCGCGCA
Molecule: transfer RNA, 86 nt
Organism: Podospora anserina
Lineage: Eukaryota; Fungi; Ascomycota; Sordariomycetes; Sordariales; Podosporaceae
Rfam family: tRNA
About the family: Transfer RNA (tRNA) molecules are approximately 80 nucleotides in length. Their secondary structure includes four short double-helical elements and three loops (D, anti-codon, and T loops).
Source: Rfam